RNAcentral lists this ribosomal RNA (465 nucleotides) under uncultured bacterium. Its description in RNAcentral is "partial 16S ribosomal RNA". It matches the Rfam family "Bacterial small subunit ribosomal RNA", at positions 28 to 507 of the family's 1533-position model. The record is from RNAcentral.
GACGAACGCUGGCGGCGUGCUUAACACAUGCAAGUCGAACGGAAAGGCCCUGCUUGCAGGGUACUCGAGUGGCGAACGGGUGAGUAACACGUGGGUGAUCUGCCCUGCACUUCGGGAUAAGCCUGGGAAACUGGGUCCAAUACCGGAUAGGAGCCAUUUUUAGUGUGAUGGUUGGAAAGUUUUUUCGGUGUAGGAUGAGCUCGCGGCCUAUCAGCUUGUUGGUGGGGUAAUGGCCUACCAAGGCGGCGACGGGUAGCCGGCCUGAGAGGGUGGACGGCCACAUUGGGACUGAGAUACGGCCCAGACUCCUACGGGAGGCAGCAGUGGGGAAUAUUGCACAAUGGGCGCAAGCCUGAUGCAGCGACGCCGCGUGGGGGAUGACGGCCUUCGGGUUGUAAACUCCUUUCGCUAGGGACGAAGCUUUUUGUGACGGUACCUAGAUAAGAAGCACCGGCUAACUACGUG